AUUCAAGCCGUGGGUACCAAGCAAGAUCAAUGUUUUGUCUUACGACUUAGUCUAAAGACUAAAGUUUGCAGCCGUGGGUACCAUUUACCUUCCACCAAACAUAACGCAAUCCAAUCUUUUGUCUAAGAGAUUGGUUACUUCGAACCUCAAGUCUCUGUCUAAAGAUCUUUUUAAGCCGUGGGUAACUUGGGCUUUGUCUAAAGACUAAAACAAGAAACAAAACAUAAUCCAUAUGUCUAGAGAUAUUCAAGCCGUGGGUACCAAGCAGGAUCAAUGUUCAGUCUCACGUCUCAGUCUAAAGACUAAAGUUUGAAGCUGUGGGUGCCAUUUACCUUCCACCAAACAUAACCUAAUCCAAUAUUUUGUCUAAAGGAUUAGUUACUUUGAACCUCAAGUCUCUGUCUAAAGACUGUUUUAAGCCGUGGGUAUCUUGAGCUUUGUCUAAAGACUGAAACAAGAAACAGAACAUGAUCCAAAUGUCUAGAAAUUUUCAAGGCGUGGGUACCAAGCAUGAUCAAUG
This is a long non-coding RNA of Arabidopsis thaliana (thale cress), 520 nucleotides long. RefSeq annotates it as other RNA. The record is from RefSeq. The transcript has a single exon. NCBI's taxonomy places the organism in Eukaryota, Viridiplantae, Streptophyta, Magnoliopsida, Brassicales, Brassicaceae.